RNAcentral lists this unclassified non-coding RNA (375 nucleotides) under uncultured Alicyclobacillaceae bacterium. RNAcentral's name for it is "contains 16S-23S intergenic spacer region". The record is from RNAcentral. Lineage: Bacteria; Bacillati; Bacillota; Bacilli; Caryophanales; Alicyclobacillaceae.
UCCGGUUUGUCACCGGCAGUCUGUUGUAAGUGCCCAACUAAAUGAUGGCAACACAACAUAGGGGUUGCGCUCGUUGCGGGACUUAACCCAACAUCUCACGACACGAGCUGACGACAACCAUGCACCACCUGUCACCGCUGCCCCGAAGGGAAACUCUAUCUCUAGAGCGGUCAGCGGGAUGUCAAGUCUUGGUAAGGUUCUUCGCGUUGCUUCGAAUUAAACCACAUGCUCCACUGCUUGUGCGGGCCCCCGUCAAUUCCUUUGAGUUUCAGUCUUGCGACCGUACUCCCCAGGCGGAGUGCUUAAUGCGUUAGCUUCGGCACUGAGGGUGGUACCCCCCAACACCUAGCACUCAUCGUUUACGGCGUGGACUAC